CUCUUAUCAAGAGCGGCAGAGGGAAUGUGCCCGAUGAAGCCCGGCAACCGUCUAUAAUAGAAAAGGUGCCAAAUCACACGAAGCAGUAUGCUCCGGAAGAUGAGAG
RNAcentral lists this non-coding RNA (106 nucleotides) under Domibacillus enclensis. RNAcentral's name for it is "SAM-I sequence". It matches the Rfam family "SAM riboswitch aptamer (S box leader)". From Rfam's summary of the family: The SAM riboswitch is found upstream of a number of genes which code for proteins involved in methionine or cysteine biosynthesis in Gram-positive bacteria. The SAM riboswitch acts at the level of transcription termination control. Lineage: Bacteria; Bacillati; Bacillota; Bacilli; Caryophanales; Bacillaceae. The record is from RNAcentral.